CCACGCACUUACAGAAUGGCGCAACAGAAAGCCAGCCAAUUUGUUCUUAGCACAGUGUCCGACAAUUCACCUCUUAAUCCUGCCCUUUUCACAGCUGUUUCUCUAGGAAUGAUUUCAGCUAGGAAGAACAAAAGCUGAGAAACAUCUCGCCUCCAUGCACAAAUGAUCAUUUUUCUCCCAUUCAAGAAGGUUUCAGGGCUACGUGGGGGACUUGGCAGAGGAGUCUUGCUCAUACACCUCCAUGGGGCUGGGUGAGCUUGUGGUCUUGCAUAAAUCACCACUGUGGGGACCUCAGCUCUGAGCCUCAGAUCUCCAGCUGAAAAACAAAGCUAAUAUCAUCUCCUUAGUGCUUCUUUUAUGUUUCUUUCUUCCAAAGCUCCCCAGGGCAGAGACUUUCACCUUGGUAUGUUUGGAAGGUGACUCUUUGCUUUUAGUUGCUUUUCAUCCUGUGGCCAAAUCAGCAACCUCCGAUGGGGAAAGGGGAUCUGGACUGGGAUGUAAGAGCCAGAGAAGUGGAGGAGAAAGCCCUCAAGCUACCCCACCACUGGAGGGUUUGUCCUUGCUACUCAGGGCUAGUGGAGGGGAGGGAACCUCUGCGGCUACCUCGAAAUCUGCAGGAUUUCCUCAAGUCACCCCCAUGGGUGAGGUCCUGCCCUUCCUUUCCUGCAGGGAAACCGGUGCAGGAUGUGCUGCAGGUUGCAGAGACCUUCCCCAACAGCUCCCAUCAGUGGACAUCGAUUCCCCCAGCUGGGAGCAGCUUGACAUCAUGGUCCCCACCAUGGCAUGGAGACAAUGGUGGCAGAGCCCGUGCCUGAUGCUCCAGUCCUGCUCCUGUUCCCCAUGAUGACGUUCCCACAGUGACUGUCGCCCACGUGCUGUGGCUGCAAAGGGAAGGAUGGAGAAGAGGCUGAGGAUGCUUAUCUGAGCAGGAGGCUGAUGAGCUGUAUUUCCAGCGAGGCCACCCCUCCUCGGCUUCUUUAAGUCUUCUUUUACCCAUCUGCUAUGUAAUGCUCAUUUGCCCAUUGUGGUGUCAGGAGACUUCACUGAUGUAUAUGAAGUUCUUUGACGCAUGACAGCUCCACAUGAAAAAUAAAACAAUCAGAGCUUGUUUCUAUCUGUAUGAC
This 1124-nucleotide long non-coding RNA is filed under the name Calidris pygmaea (Spoon-billed sandpiper). RNAcentral describes it as "lncRNA (ENSCPGG00000009675.1)". Lineage: Eukaryota; Metazoa; Chordata; Aves; Charadriiformes; Scolopacidae. The record is from RNAcentral.